UGUUUCCACUUCAGGUUUGCCUCACUCGUAUAAGAGGGAUACUAGUGGGCCUCCGGCGAUGCCUUCGGAAAUAGCCACGGCUUCAGAGCAUGGCCUCCGCGGCGGGGCCAUCGCCGUCAGGCGGUUUUCUCCUCCACCGAGGCUUCGAGGUUUCUUACGGCGUUGGAUUGAAGCAAGCGCCUCUCGGCGGUCAAUGCGGGAGGAGGAGGAGGAGGACGCUCCUGGCGUCUCCGCCCAUCAGAGCGAAGCAAGGGGAGAGUCCGUUGCAGGACAAGAAGUCCGGAAUUUGCAGAUGAUACUUGGAAGGCCGCAGCAUGCUUAGCUAUGGAUUGAACAUGGCAUUAAUGCUACGGAUACAGCAGAAGCAGUGAGUUUUGAAUAGUAAUCAAUCUAUUUUAGGCUGAUGAAUAAUGCAAUUUUUCUACGAAAAUUAUAUGGGCUUUCUACUACUAAUCUGUGCAAGUUUGCUCCAAUGGUUAUAUAGUUUGUUGCUUCUGUUUUUUUGUUUUUUUUGAAAUGACUCUAAAAUGUCUGAUAGUGUGAAUGCAUUGGAAUUUCAUCCCCGCACUCCGAUAACAUUAAGAAGAUGUCAUUAUUGUAACUUUGUGACACUUUGUUAAGCCCUAAUCAACACUUGUAUCAUUGUUGAUAUCUCUUUGCAAGGUGAGUAUUAUAGGAGUCAUAUAGGCAUCCUUCUCUAGUAGCCUGUGAAAAGACCAGACAUGAGUUGAGCAUGUACACUUAUGAUCAUGGUCUGCCGAACCGGCCGGUACGGGCCGGUUCGGCCCGGUACGGACCGGUCUGACUUGGAACCGGUACCCGGACAGCGUGGAAACCGGUUCCAGCUGUUUUCAGGCCGAUCUCGAUUGGUAUGCAUGUGUACCGGUCGUGUACCGGCCGGUUCGCACCGGUACAUUUUUUUUUCGAUUGAAAAGCGGGCAGAGCGCCCGCGCAGGCACGGGGCCACACGCUCGCGUGCGGGGCGGUGUUGAGGACCCCCCACAAACACCGCUAUCCAAGCUCGCGACCAAGGGAGAUUCAAGGCUCGAAAAAUGCCAAAGGAGGGUCAUGCCAAGCCCCUUCACACUUGGCCAAGCCUUGGCCAAGUGCCUCUAAGGUCGGCUAAGACAAGGUACAGUAGGCCAAAGACACGACGCAGCCAUGUGCGGCACAAGCUGCGCUCAUGCGCACCCGCCGCACGCGUCUGUGCGCGUGUUGCGAACCCUGCUCCAUCGAGCUAAAUUUCAGCCAGCACAAGCGAGGCCAACCUCGCUCAAGGCCAAUACUCGGGGCAACUCCAUUGUUUGGAGGCUUGGCCGAGCCUUGGCCAAGUAUUGCAGCAGCCAGUCCGACCUUAUGCAGGCCCUCCACAACGCCUACACGAGGUUCGAGGUCACCACAAGCAUCAGCCCAAGAGGACUGUGCGCUCGACCAAAGGCCACAUGCAACACCUCUUGACCGUAGCCACUCGGCCUGCGCAUAGCGCUUGCCAAAGCGCCCGUGCGCUAGGCCCUUAACCGCAAGGACUUCGGCCCUCGCACUAGCAGCAACGCGCGGCCAACCGGGUGUCCACUCUGCAGCACCAGGCGGCCAACCACGCGCCCGCACAGCCACAGCUGCGCGCGGACCCCCACGCGCUCGGGCCUCCACGCGCCCAUUCAUCCCCAGGAGCGCGGGGCCAACCGCGCGUGCACACCUCAGGCGUGCUGAUGGGGGCUCACGGUCCAAAGCCCCUCACGAUGCCCUUUUUCUCGUGCUCCUUGCGUGCGCCUCCAAAAAUUGCUGAUGAUGGACCGAUUGUUGGUAACGCCGGUGGAAUAACUCAAUACAAAGAUUAACAAUGUAGGCAAACUGAAUUUUAUUCCACUCAAUUGAAAAACAAAUAACAAGAACAAAGAAAACAAAAAAAAUCUAGCAAGGGAUUGAAGAGAUCCCUUUCUAACCUAAUCUAGUGGAGAUUGAUGCAUCUACUACUAGCCCAAGUUCUAGAAAACAAGAUCUAAGGACCGAAAUCAGCACAAACACCGCCCAAGCCUUACGGUCGACUCUCAUAAGAAAACAAGACUAAACUCAACUCUGGGAUUGCUCUAGGAUGCCUCAUAAUGGCCCCUUACAACUUUAUUUAUUGACCCAAGACUCUAGACAAAAUUAAGUAACUCUCCUUAAGAUAAACAUGGAAAAUCGUCUUUCCACGGGAUGUGUCCCGGUUGACCGAGUCGUGCGACCCGGUUGUCCCAGUCUGGCCGAGGUCGGCUCGGCCUUCGGCGGGGUCCGAGGUCGGCCUGGCCUGAGGUCGGCUCAGCUUUCGACAAGGCCGAAAGUCGGCCUAGCCUCUGGCCGAGGUCAGCUCGGCUUGAGGUCGGCCUGGCCUGAGGUCGGCUUGGCCUUCGGCAGGACCCGAGGUCGGCUUGGCCUGAGGUCGGCUUGGCCUUCGGCAGGGCCCGAUUUUUCUUCCCGCGCGAGUUUACUCUUGAGCUUCCGAGGCCCGGGGCUUGGGUGACCGACCCUCCCCGAGGUCGGAUUAGAGCGUAGGUGGAGAUUGCCUGUUGGGUUGAUGGGGCGAGGUCUGGCGCGCAGGCUGAUCCCACGCGGUGCCGGAGUCGUGGAUGAACCUCAUGGUCGGCUAAGGGUCGGCUGGCCACAAAACACAUCAUUUGGCCACUUUGGCCCUCGGUUGGCACAUAGUCCUCUCUCGGCUUGGCGCUACCUCGGCGUCGCUUGCGUGGGUCCUCAACAAACCCCCUUCCUUGAAAAAUAUCCUUGCCCCCAAGGAUAUGCUUUGAGUGUCGUCGAACUCCUUCUUCAUUGGCUUCUUGUGUAGCUUCUUCUUUAGGCAUUCGGCCGUAUAGUGUCUCCAACAUAUUGGCCUCACACGGCCUUAUGUCAUUGUUGCCCCAAGCGGUCCACUUCCUCAUCCGUAUAGUGUCUCCAAUCUCCGAAGCCAUGAAAUUCCAAGUACCACAUCUAGUCCUACCAACUGUAGUACAUGUAAAUCAAUACUAAUUUAAACCUUUUGGACCCUCAUUUUUAUAUCCUUCACAAUCUCCUCACACUUCAUCCUCUCUCUACUCGCAAUUUUUACCUUAAAGGGCUCCACCGGUACACCUUUCAAGCCCACCUUUUGAAGUGUCUCUGCGUUAAUAAAAUUAUGUGAAGAGCCCGAGUCAAUCAAUAAAGAAACUUCAUGCGUACCGAUCCAUGCCAUAAGCUGCAUAGUAGAAGAUUUUGAACUCCCGACAUGACAUGUAAUGAAAGUUUAGCUUCUUUGAUCGCUUCAUAAUCCUCGGCCUUCUUUUGAUCAGCUUUGUCACCAUCUUCAUCAGAAAAUUCAGACACCUCGUCCUCUUCCUCGCUGCUUGCAUCAAGGACGUAGAUUUGACCGGUCUUGCAACGAUGCUCCCAGCUCCACUUUUUACUGCACUUGAAACAUAGUCCUUUUUUAAUGUAAUCCUUUAGCUCAUCACGAGUCAGUUUUUUUACCUCCUUUGGCCGGUGUUUGUUGUUGGUUCUGGCCUCUUCUUUGCCUCCAUUUGUCGCCUUUGAUGGUAGGGAUUCGGUGUGCUUGCUGCCCGCACUAUCCUUGGACAUUUGCUGCUCCGGGUAGUAGCUUUGGUCUAUGAUUUCCGCUAUGCGCAUUGCUUCUUGUAGCUGCGUUGGUUGUUUGAGUUUGAUUUCUUUGGCUAGCCACGGUUUGAGGCCGUCGAUGAAGGUACCAAGUAAAGCUUCGUCGGACCAUCCGCUGACCAUUGUUUGCAAUUGCCAGAACUCGUUGAUGUAGGUUUGGACUUUGCCUUCUUGCUUGAGUUUUGCAAGUUGGCCAUGGUGAUUGAUAACGGGGGAAGGUCCCUAUUGCUUUAUGAAUUCAUCAACAAAGGCAGUCCAACCCAAUCUUCUCCCCUCUUUUUCAUGCAAUGCCCGGAUCUACCUCCACCAUCGGCUAGCCUUACCUUCUAAGUGGAAACUUGCUAGGGCAAGCCGAUCAGCCUAUGGAAUAUCAUAAACAUAAAAGUAUUGAUCCGCCUUGUUAAACCACUUAUACGGGUCUCCUCCUCCAAACUUUGGGAAGUCAAUUUUGGGUUUCCUAAGCCCUUCUUCUUUAGGCCGUGGACCCCUAUAGUCAUCAUCUCCAAAGUCAUCACCCCAUAUGUUUCUUCCUCUCCUUGCCAUGGGUUCUCUCCAGCCGUGAGGCCUUUGAGCAUGAAAGGAUCUUUCUUUGGCCUCAUCACGACUUUUAUGGCCAUUACUAACCCGCUCAUCAUCAAGCCACCUCUCAAACACUAAGCUCUUGGCUUCAACUCUUCCUCCCCUUCGUGAAUGAUGCCUAACGCCAUGAUCUAUAUGAUGGGUACCCUGAAGCUAAUGGCAUCACUCUCAUACCUUGCCCGGCCCUGUCGUGUGGCAUGCGAUCUAGGCACUUCUUCUUGCACCCUCUUAUGUUCCCUCUCUAGUAUCCUCCUUUCCAACCUCUCAAUGGUGGCAUUAUUCUCCCUCCUUAUUUCAGCCAUAUUCGCAGCCAAAGUAUUGGACAAAGUUUCUAAUGCCCGGUUAAGGUUGGCUGAACUAACUUCAAGGGCCUCUAACCUCUUAUCUUGAUUGUUGUUUCGGGGGGACUCUAUCUCUUUUUAACCCUCUGUUUUAGGACUCUAAAACCCUGAGAUAACAGCCCCUCAAACUCCCAAAAACUAGGAUUCAACCGGCCCCAAAAACUUGCUGCGUACCAAAAUUUCUGGACUGCAGAAAAUUUCUGCAGCAGUCCACAAACUUCAAAAGCAAAUGACACCUUCAAAAUAGACCCAAAUCAACCCCCAACCUCCUGCAGUUAUCACCCAAAGGAUGAACCAACCCACCUGAUCUGUACACUACUCAAUCAGCUUCCGACAGGGGUUUUACAAAAAUAAAAAUAGAAACUUAAUAUCCUCCAAUCGAAUACAAAUUCAAGCCCAAUACAAGAUGUAGAAUUUUUAUAAACCUCACCAAAAGAUAAAAGUCAAAUUGCAAGUCUCUUUCUCAACACAAAGAGGUCUUGAUGAUCUAUUUGUUCUCUGAAACACUGUAGUUGGGGAAGGCGCACAAGGUACUACCAGUAGCCUUCCUUUAUGCGGCCCCUAAUAUACCCUACAGCAGAUCAGUUGGGUAAAAUAGCAUUGGGUACUACUAGUAGCCUCUCCGUUGUGCUAUCCCUAGUUUGAAUAAAAUAGAAUCAAGAGAACUCUUUUUUCUUACAAUAAAAGGCUCUCACAAUAUAUCAAGACUAUAAAUAUCCCCAAUACAAUCAGAUCUCACCAAUAAAAAAUCCAGAUCUGAUUUUUAACUUCAGAUCUAAUAAGAAUAUACAAGGAAAAUUCAGAUCUGAAGAUUGAUAUUCAGACAUUACCUCCUUGAGGGAUUCUCUCAACGAAAGCACCAAUUGAUGGGGGCUUACGGUCUAAAGCCCCUUACCAUUCCCUUUUCCUCACGCUCGUUGCGUGCGCCUCCAAAAUUGCUGAUGAUAGACCGAUUGUAGGUAACACCGGUGGAAUAACUCAAUACAAAUAUCAACAAUGAAGGCAAACUGAAUUCUAUUCAACUCAAUUGAAGAACAAAUAACAAGAACAAAGAAAACAAAAGAAAUCUAGCAACGGAUUGAAGAGAUCCCUUUCUAGCCCAAUCUAGUGGCGAUUGAUGUAUCUACCACUAGCCCAAGUCUUAGAACAUAAGAUCUAAGGACCCAAAUCGGCACAAACACCGCCCAAGCCUUACGGCUAAGGCUGCAAAUGGGUCGGGUCCUCCCGAGACCCGAACCGGCCCGACCCGCGUAGACCCGACCCGACCCGAAUUUUAGGACCCGCGGGUCCGGGUCGGGUCCUAAAAUUGGAACCGAAUCAUUUUUUGGGUUGGGUCUGGGUUUACCGAACGGACCCGACCCGACCCGAAUGGACUCGAAGAGAGAAAGAGAGAGGAGGAAAAAAGCAAAAGAAAGUUAUUCUCUGUGUGUGUGGGUCGUGGCACUAUUUGUGAGGACCGGUCCAUUCACCGGCCCGUAUCCAAUUGGGCUAGUGGGCCAGCCCAAUGAAGCCAGCCAUUUGGAGUCCGCCACCUCGUCCUUAAGGGGAGGGGCAGAUGUCAAUAGAAGGGAGGUGUUGCUGCCAGGUUUAAAUACAGUGACAAUCGCUUAAAAACCUCUCGACACGUCGCUUAGAACCCCCCAAACGCCUUCCUUCCUCCUGGUACGCUCCCUCCCAAAUCCGGACGCUGCCAGAUCUCAGCACCUCGUCGGCUGGACAUCUACGCCGACAUCCCCGCCAUAGCAGCUGACCUCCGGUGGUCGCCAGAGCCUCUCUUCACCUUACUCCAUCACCGACACCCGCUGCUUGGGUCAGUGAGGUAACAUCCAUCCAUUUCUCCGUCCCUUCCUGAUGUUCAUAGCCUUGCUUUUCCUCCCAAUCUGCUCAGGAUAACAAAGAAAAGAAAGAAAGAAAGAAACAAAGAAGCAAAGAAGAAGAAAAAUAAGAAAAGAGGAAGAGGGGACUCACCGGGGAGACGUCACGUGCGGCGGCGGCCGGCUUCGGCUGCGAACGGCGCUGACACGGGCGUCGGCCGCGGGCCAGCCGAGGAUGCCGCCGGCACGGGCGUCGGCUGCAGGCCGGCCGAGGGCACCGCCGGCUGUGGCCGACCUCUCCCGAACUCACUGCCUCCCCUCGCAGGAGAAGAAAGGGGGAAAGAAAAGAGGGAUCGGGAGAGAAGGAAGGAAAGAGAGGAGGAGAGGAAGCUCUGGGAAGAAGAGGGAACAGGGACUCACCGAUUCGACGUAGCGUGCGGUGGCCACCGGCUUCGGCCGCGAGGGCCGCCGGCACGAGCCUCGGCCGCAGGCCAGCCGAGGAUGCGGACGUCGAGCGUCGGCCGCGAGCGCGGCCGAGGGCGCCGCGGGCUUCGGCCGAGGGCACCGCCGGCCGUGGCAUGACCCCAAGCUCGGCCUCUCCCAAGCCGCCGCCUCUUCUUCCUUGAGAUGGGAAGGGGAGGAGGUUAGA
Molecule: long non-coding RNA, 7007 nt
Organism: Phoenix dactylifera (date palm)
Lineage: Eukaryota; Viridiplantae; Streptophyta; Magnoliopsida; Arecales; Arecaceae
Source: RefSeq, a predicted model, not a curated record